Populus trichocarpa (black cottonwood) is the source of this 136-nucleotide non-coding RNA. The record is from Rfam. Lineage: Eukaryota; Viridiplantae; Streptophyta; Magnoliopsida; Malpighiales; Salicaceae.
CAAUAUGUCUAGGGCAGAUCCUCAUUUAGUUAUGGUAGACCCAUACCUGGCUGCCCAGAAUCACCUGUUAUUACAAGCCCAACUACACCAGAAGGUAUAGACUUUAUAAAAAGUACUUUUCACCUAAUAUUAUAGU